This is a non-coding RNA of Phascolarctos cinereus (koala), 1394 nucleotides long. NCBI's taxonomy places the organism in Eukaryota, Metazoa, Chordata, Mammalia, Diprotodontia, Phascolarctidae. The record is from RefSeq and is a predicted model, not a curated record.
AGGAAUGGCAAACAAACCACUCUAACAUCUUUAUCAAGAAAAUCCCAAAUGCGAUCGUGAAGAGUUGGGACACCACCAAAACCACUGAACAAAAACAAUGUCCUCAGGGAGUUCACAAUCUAAUGGGAAAAGCAACAAACAAGCUAUCUACAGGAAAAAUAAGAAAUAACUGAGAGGAGAGGGUCUGGAAUUAAGAGUAUGGCAAGGCUUCCUGUAGAAAAUGAGAUGUUCAAUAAGAUUCGCAUCAUGCUACCUUCAAAUGAGGAGGGAAAACAUUCCAGGCAUGGGGGACAACCAGACAAAAUGCUAGGAGCUGAGAAAAAUGUCUUGUCUGAGAAAAAGCAAGGAAGCUAGUGACACUGGAUUGAAGAGUACGAGGCAGGGAAAAAGGAGUAAGACGACUGGAAAGGUAAAAGAGGUUACAAAGGGCUUUCAACACCAAACAAAAGAUGUUAUAUUUAUUUGCUCCUGGAAGAGAUAUGGAGCCACUGGAAUUUACCAAGGCGGGGUAGAGGGUAGACUUGGUUGGAUUUGUGUUUUAGGAAAAUCACCUUGGUGGCUAAAUGGAGAAUAAAUUGGAGAGGGAGAUACUGAACAGACCUACCAACAGGCUACUGCAAAUUAUACAGGUGUGAGGUAAUGACGGACUGUACUAGAGAGUGGGCAGUAUCAAGGAGGGGAAAGUAUCAAGCAGAGAAAGAGACAUAUUCAAGAAGUGAUACAAAGGUGAAACUGACAGGCCUUGGCAACAGAUGAGGGCAGCAGGGGUGGACGGGAGGAGCAGCAGAUAGUGAGGAGUCUAGGAUGACUCCAAGGAUGUGCUCCUGAGAGACUGGGAGCAGGGCAGAGCCCUCAAUAGUAACAGGGAAAUUAAAUGGGGACUGAGUGAGGGAGGAGGAAGAGAGGUUAAAGAAACAUAAUGAAUUCAGUUUGCACAUGUUUAGGGUAAAAUGUUUACUAGAUAUCCAGUUGAGAUAAAUGAAAGGCAACUGCAAAUUUAAGACUGGAGGUCAGCAGAGAGGUCAGAGCAGCAUAGACAGAUUUGAAAAUCAGCAGCACAGAAAUGGUAAUUAGAUCCAUGGAAAUUGAUGACAUCACUAAGUGAAGAAGCCCCAGGACAGAACUCUGAGGGAUACCUAUGGAGGGAAUGCAUAAGGAGAAUGAGAAGGAGCAAUUACAUGGGAACUUCCAGUAUAAGAACUACCUUCAUCGUUGCAAAUGGACUGCACUUCUGCAAUUUACAGUCAGAGAGGUGACUGGGGAACAUGCUAGAACAGAGAGGGUAAGGAGGCAAAAGGGAAAAGGGGCUAAACUGGAUUGCCAAAAAAGGAUUCAUGAUCAUUGAAACAUUAAACAAACAAACAAAAGCAGAGAAGGGAACAGAAGGAAGCACA